Molecule: non-coding RNA, 1438 nt
Organism: Triticum urartu
Lineage: Eukaryota; Viridiplantae; Streptophyta; Magnoliopsida; Poales; Poaceae
Source: RefSeq, a predicted model, not a curated record
AUUGGUCCGCUGUCUACAGGUGCUCGUUAUUCUGGCCAGUUUGUCGUGCUCUAUCUUCGACCACCUCUUUGCAGGAAAAUGCCUCAAUUAAUUAGUUUGUCGCUCCGUUAGUCGCCAUGGUCAGAUGAUGCUUCAGGUUUGCACUUCACAUUGAGGAAAACUGGUGUUUAUCUACAUGAGGGACCUGGUUGUAUUACCUACUACAUGCAUCGUUAACUGGGCACCAAAAAACCUAGAUUGUGCAUCUCUGUUUGUUCAUGUGGUGAUUAUCCUAUUGUUUUCGGCAUCAGAUCGAUUGUAAACAGUGGAUGAAUGCAUACCUUUUCAAGCUUAAGCAUUUGGUGUUUGGUGAUGUGGUAUUUUCUCUUUAAAGACGUUCCUACUACUUUCUUUUUUGAUAAAUAGACAAGUUGGAUCCAGUGUAUGUCCAUGUGUGUGCCUUGGUUCAGUACGCAAUGAAAUCUGGGAAAGUGGCUUCUGUUUAACAUUGUCAUGAAAGAUACAUUCACAUGUCUUGAACUUUCUAUCUUGGUUCUAUUUGUAUUGUUAGUUUCAAAAGAUAUAUUCACUUCUUUGCGACUUUUAUCUCUAUAACAUGUCUACUCUUCGUUUAGAUAUAUUUUUUAUUCCAGCUAUGUUGUUGUGAGGGAGCAGGCUUCUUAUGGGGAAUGGUGAUGAUUUCUUGAGCUUUCAUUUUGUUCUCCUUUCUAUCCCAAACAUAGUUUUCGCAGAGUCGAUGUAUGUGCCGGUUUGCCCGGAUAAUCCAUGUAGCGGUUAGUCUGUUUUUAUUCAUAUAAUUACUGGACUCCUAUAAAAAACACGGAGAUGUACUGCGCUAUAUGUUCUCUGAUCCGUUGAGCCCAAACAUGUACAAGUGGAUCUGAUCGUUAGAUUUUAAUUAUAUUUUGGACGUUGUCAUAGCUAGCAAUAUAUAGUGCAGUUUACUUUCUUUGUCCUCUUGUGGCCACUAACUAAAUCUUUUGUGUUUUCUUCUUUUGCUCAGGGCCCUAUGCUCCUAUAGCUUGAAUUAGGGUGGUGCCAGUGAUUCACAAGAUCUUCCAUAUUAUCAUUAGCAAGGUGAAGUCAUUCAAGUAUUGGCCACUACUAUCUGCAUUAGCUUCGUCUCAGAAAAUAACCUUUUCACUUGGAAGGAGGAAGUAGGAGUUCUCAGUAAUGGUUAACUACAAGCUACAGUAGAUGUUCUUUGAUUAACAAAGACAAAUGUCCUACUAUUAUCGAUGUUUCCAAAGCUUCGUUCUCAAUUUGUCUGUUAUCUCAUUAUGUUUAUGAGCAGCUCCAAAAUCUGACACUUAUGCUUGCCAGUAUGAACUUCUUGGCUAUAUUUUAUAGAACUUAUGUCUUGACGCUUUGUACUGAACUUGAUGCAGUCCAAUUCAAGUCAGUUGUCCUGAGCAAGCACUAUGUCUUGCUUUUGGUA